CCUUCGAUAGCUCAGUUGGUAGAGCGGUGGACUGUAGUGAGUUAAGCGAAAUGUAGACAUCCAUAGGUCGCUGGUUCAAAUCCGGCUCGAAGGA
This 94-nucleotide transfer RNA is filed under the name Drosophila virilis. It matches the Rfam family "tRNA". From Rfam's summary of the family: Transfer RNA (tRNA) molecules are approximately 80 nucleotides in length. Their secondary structure includes four short double-helical elements and three loops (D, anti-codon, and T loops). Further hydrogen bonds mediate the characteristic L-shaped molecular structure. tRNAs have two regions of fundamental functional importance: the anti-codon, which is responsible for specific mRNA codon recognition, and the 3' end, to which the tRNAs corresponding amino acid is attached (by aminoacyl-tRNA synthetases). tRNAs cope with the degeneracy of the genetic code in two manners: having more than one tRNA (with a specific anti-codon) for a particular amino acid; and 'wobble' base-pairing, i.e. permitting non-standard base-pairing at the 3rd anti-codon position. Lineage: Eukaryota; Metazoa; Arthropoda; Insecta; Diptera; Drosophilidae. The record is from Rfam by way of RNAcentral.